RNAcentral lists this ribosomal RNA (450 nucleotides) under uncultured bacterium. Its description in RNAcentral is "partial 16S ribosomal RNA". It matches the Rfam family "Bacterial small subunit ribosomal RNA", at positions 338 to 795 of the family's 1533-position model. The record is from RNAcentral.
CCUACGGGAGGCUGCAGUCGAGAAUCUUUCACAAUGGGGGCAACCCUGAUGGAGCGACGCCGCGUGGAGGAUAAGGUCUUCGGAUUGUAAACUCCUUUCAUGCGAGAACAAGGUUGCAGGGCUAACACCUUUGCAAAUUGAUGGUACCGCAAGAGGAAGAGACGGCUAACUCUGUGCCAGCAGCCGCGGUAAUACAGAGGUGUCAAGCGUUGUUCGGAAUCGCUCGUAGGUGGGGGGGUGUGUCAGGCGUGAAAGCCCGGGGCUCAACCUCGGAAUUGCAUCCGAUACUGCCAUGCUGGAGUACUGAAGAGGUGACUAGAAUUCUAGGUGUAGCAGUGAAAUGCGUAGAUAUCUAGAGGAAUACCAGCGGCGAAGGCAGGUCACUGGGCAGUUACUGACACUGAGGCACGAAGGCCAGGGGAGCAAACGGGAUUAGAUACCCCUGUAGUC